Molecule: non-coding RNA, 30 nt
Filed under: Mus musculus (house mouse)
Lineage: Eukaryota; Metazoa; Chordata; Mammalia; Rodentia; Muridae
Source: RNAcentral
UACGAGAUUGUGUAAAACAGAUGUAUGGUA